This 399-nucleotide ribosomal RNA is filed under the name Sancus acoreensis. RNAcentral describes it as "partial 16S ribosomal RNA". The stretch from base 1 to 220 matches the Rfam family "Bacterial large subunit ribosomal RNA", at positions 2425 to 2643 of the family's 2925-position model. Lineage: Eukaryota; Metazoa; Arthropoda; Arachnida; Araneae; Tetragnathidae. The record is from RNAcentral.
UAAAUAGANNNCCCAACANUAGUUGAUUACANUGAACAAGUUACUGUAGGGAUAACAGCGUAAUAUAUAUCUAAAGUUCUUAUUUUGAUAUAAGUUUGCGACCUCGAUGUUGAAUUNAUAUUACUUUCAAGCGCAAGAGCCUGAAAAGUGGGUCUGUUCGACCCCUAAAUAUAUACAUGAUUUGAGUUCAAAUCGGUGUAAACCAGAUUGGUUUCUAUCUAUUNUUAUUUGUGUCUUAGUACGAAAGGACCUGAAACAAUAUUAUAUAAUNAUUUAUAUGGCAGAAAAAUGCUUUAGAUUUAGGAUCUAAUUAUAAUAGAUUAUUAUACUCUAUUUAACUUGCCUAAUCUCUGUUAUUAGAAUCCUUAUCGCAGUAGCUUUUUAUACCCUCCUAGAGCG